Molecule: ribosomal RNA, 351 nt
Filed under: uncultured bacterium
Lineage: Bacteria
Description: bacterial SSU rRNA
Rfam family: Bacterial small subunit ribosomal RNA
Source: RNAcentral
GGGCCCGCACAAGCGGUGGAGCAUGUGGUUUAAUUCGAUGAUACGCGAGGAACCUUACCAGGGCUUAAAUGUUAGGUGACAGAUCUAGAAAUAGAUUUUUCUUCGGACACUUAACAAGGUGCUGCAUGGUUGUCGUCAGCUCGUGCCGUGAGGUGUCAGGUUAAGUCCUAUAACGAGCGCAACCCCUGUUGUUAGUUGCCAGCGAGUAAUGUCGGGAACUCUAACAAGACUGCCGGUGCAAACCGUGAGGAAGGUGGGGAUGACGUCAAAUCAUCACGGCCCUUACGUCCUGGCUACACACGUGCUACAAUGGUAGGUACAGAGGGAAGCCACCCCGCGAGGGGGAGCGGA